AAGAACCUUACCAAAUCUUGACAUCCUUUGACCACUCUAGAGAUAGAGUUUUCCCCUUCGGGGGACAAAGUGACAGGUGGUGCAUGGUUGUCGUCAGCUCGUGUCGUGAGAUGUUGGGUUAAGUCCCGCAACGAGCGCAACCCUUAAACUUAGUUGCCAGCAUUUAGUUGGGCACUCUAGGUUGACUGCCGGUGACAAACCGGAGGAAGGUGGGGAUGACGUCAAAUCAUCAUGCCCCUUAUGAUUUGGGCUACACACGUGCUACAAUGGACAAUACAAAGGGCAGCUAAACCGCGAGGUCAUGCAAAUCCCAUAAAGUUGUUCUCAGUUCGGAUUGUAGUCUGCAACUCGACUACAUGAAGCUGGAAUCGCUAGUAAUCGUAGAUCAGCAUGCUACGGUGAAUACGUUCCCGGGUCUUGUACACACCGCCCGUCACACCACGAGAGUUUGUAACACCCGAAGCCGGUGGA
RNAcentral lists this ribosomal RNA (471 nucleotides) under Staphylococcus arlettae. RNAcentral describes it as "bacterial SSU rRNA". It matches the Rfam family "Bacterial small subunit ribosomal RNA", at positions 964 to 1434 of the family's 1533-position model. Lineage: Bacteria; Bacillati; Bacillota; Bacilli; Caryophanales; Staphylococcaceae. The record is from RNAcentral.